UAACUGGAGAGUUGGGAAGAAGUCUGGGAGACUGUGAAGUCAUAGAUGCAAAAUAACAUAUACCCAUACACACACAAACAGAAAAUGCAUUAACCUUAUAAAGACAAGCUCCUGAAGCUUAAUGAACAGAUAUUGAUUAAAAACCUGGCUAAGAACAUAAGCAUAUGCAAUGAAGAUCUGCUUGCUACUUGUAUGAGUGAGAGAAUGGUGUGAAUGUUGAAUAAACGGAUUAAACUAGUUUAAAAGGGUGACUCAGCAGUGCUUUUGCACUGAGUGAUCAAAACAAGUGAUUAGUAUAGAAAGAAAAUGAAAAUAAUUGAAUGAGUGGCAUGAGGUUUAAAAAGUAUUUCUUGUGCCAAGUUAAAUUGUUGAGAUAUGGCUGAGUAUGGAAAAAGUUUGAGAGCUCGUGUGAAUGUGGACAGAGGAGCUUGCUGUGUGUGUGUGAUUGAGGCCUUAAAGGAGGGGUAGAUUGUUCAGAGGUGCAAAUUUGAUUAGGAGGUUUAUAAAUUAGUGUUGACACAUUGUUGUAAGAUCUUAGGCUGAAUCUGAGUAUGGUAAAGUGCCUAAAGGGGGAUAUUGUUGUGUACGAAACGGUGCAGCUUUUGGCGAGGUUUUCAGUGUGUCGAACGGGUGAAAUUUCAGAUUGUUGAAGAUUUUUGAGGUUGUUGUUUUAUUUUUAAUAGAGGGAGUUUUGAUAAACAUGGACAUGUCUAAAAGGGCCCAUAGUUUUUAUAACAGUGCACUUAGAAAAAACCUGUCAGGUGAUUUUGUUUUGUGUUUUGAUGAGCUAAUAAUCAGCUCUCUUUUUCUCAUUUUUGUUCUAAGCAGGCCUGCAAAAGAGUGGAUAACAGCGCUGAAAAUUCUCGGUGACCUUCUCCAGAUUACAAUAGGCAGAGGAGAAGGCUAACUCUCUGUCUAAAAGGAUUGCCGCGAGCGAAUCCAGUCCAAAAGCAGAAAGAACUAUUUUCUUAAAAACAAAGUAAAACAAAUAAAUGAGUUGAUGUUGCUGAGAGUGAAGACUGAAUAUUUGCGAGAUAGUCUCCACUGUCAGCAAGACCUGAUGUUAAUGCAUGGGAGUGAAUGUGUGUAAAUGGAUGGUGACUGGACGGACCAGGCAGACCAUAGGUUGGACCGACUGGACACUGACAAAAGACUGGACUAAGGUUGGACACAUGACUGAUAAUUGUUCUGUUUUAACUUUUGUUUUAUAACACAGGUUGGAUCAUAAGUGAGGAUAAACUGAGUAUAAAAGGUGAUGUUCUGGUUAACACACAGGUUUUUGUUUCUAGGACGUUUCAAGGAUGCAGGCUGUAGAUGGAGCCAAGAAAAGAUUGGACAUAAUGAUUAAUUUGAUUUCAUUCCUUAAACACAGGUUUGAAGGGCCGGAGCAUGAAUAUCUAAUAUGAUAGGACUAACCUUUUUCUUUUAAUUUCCUAAGCUUGAGUGAAGGAUUUUGAGUUUGUAACACAUGAGAUGUGUCACAAAAAGGGGGGUGUUAAUAUAUGCGAUUAGCUACAUGAAAGGUGCUCUUUUAGGGUUACUAAGCAAAUGUCUACGUGACCUUUCUGAGUUCUGAGAAUAACUCUGUUAAGUUGACAGGAAACACGUCGAGACAGCAAUAUAGGGCAAAUAUGUUUGAGCUUGUAAUUAAAUGUGGGACUUGAAAAGAGGAAGCAAAUUGGGUACAGGACGUACUUGAGAUGAUCAGACGACAGAAAGGAGAAGAACAGAGCACAAAUACACCGAGUUGUUUAUAUUACAAAGAAGAUCAAAAGCUUGUUAGACACAGGUUAUAAUGGAAGCAUAAAAGGGAUGAGAGGAACUUUACAUAACAUAGAAAUCC
Long non-coding RNA from Oreochromis aureus, 1843 nucleotides. The record is from Ensembl. NCBI's taxonomy places the organism in Eukaryota, Metazoa, Chordata, Actinopteri, Cichliformes, Cichlidae.